Non-coding RNA from Punica granatum (pomegranate), 693 nucleotides. NCBI's taxonomy places the organism in Eukaryota, Viridiplantae, Streptophyta, Magnoliopsida, Myrtales, Lythraceae. The record is from RefSeq and is a predicted model, not a curated record.
GCUGCAAUUGUUAAGCAUACCUUUCUCGGCCUUUUGGCUAAGAUCAAGUGUAGUAUCUGUUCUUAUCAGUUUAAUAUCUGAUACGUGGGCCAUCGGCCCACAUGAUAUUAAAUUAAUUUUUCUAGGGGGAGGGCCCAUCACAGUAGCUUGCUGCUGGGGCCCUCGCGCGUCGCCUUGGCGUUGCCCUACUGCCUGGGCCUGGCGCACCCCUCCAACCCCAGUUAAAGAUUUGGCUUCGUGGCCCAGUCGAGUUCCAUUGGGCCGAUGGGAGCUCGGUGAGUAACGAGGAGGCACUAGGCUGGAAUCUGUUGGUCCGCUCAAGUUCGAGUGAUUUAAAAAAAUAAGGGAUGAAAUUCGAAUAGCCAUUCCAAAAUAGGUGAAGAUCCGUUGGGGAGGUUUUAGAUGAAGAUCCGCUGGGACGACGGGCUCUAUGCAAUUGACGUAGUCACGUAGAUAUUCCCCUGACAAAAAUCUCAAAGACCUACCGGAGCAUGGCUGUCGUGAUCUUUUAGAAAAUGGAUAUUCUUAAAGUUAUAAUAAGCAACUAGGAUCACAUAACAUAAACAUAUGCAUAUAGAAAACUAGAAGUUCUUUUUCAAUCUUUUUUAUUAUAAGGGAGAUACAUUGCCUGGUACAAUGAAUAAAAAUUAUAAUAUCUAAUAAAAAGUACGGAUAAUUUUAUUCGGUAUCGAA